RNAcentral lists this ribosomal RNA (253 nucleotides) under uncultured bacterium. RNAcentral describes it as "partial 16S ribosomal RNA". It matches the Rfam family "Bacterial small subunit ribosomal RNA", at positions 524 to 776 of the family's 1533-position model. The record is from RNAcentral.
UACAGGGGGUGCAAACGUUGCUCGGAAUUAUUGGGCGUAAAGCGCACGUAGGCGGUUCGUUAUGUCGGAUGUGAAAGCCCUUGGCUCAACUGAGGAAGUGCAUCCGAAACUGGCGAGCUAGAGUCCGGAAGAGGAGAGUGGAAUUCCUGGUGUAGCGGUGAAAUGCGCAGAUAUCAGGAAGAACACCCGUGGCGAAGGCGGCUCUCUGGUACGUGACUGACGCUGAGGCGCGAAAGCGUGGGGAGCGAACAGG